CUAUUGAGAAUGUAAAAAAUAUAUUAUCCGGGUGAUAAUAGGAUAUGUACUAGUAGAUUUUGUGCUGAUACUUCAGGUUUAGGAGGUUAGUUUGAACCCUAGCAAUUAGUUGUGGCUAUAUUAUAGGUGCAUGUGCAUUAUCUUCUAUUUAGGAUCUAUGCAAAAUUGCAAAAGUAAUGUCAAUUUUAACUAUGUACUAUCCUAU
Molecule: long non-coding RNA, 205 nt
Filed under: Lupinus angustifolius (narrow-leaved blue lupine)
Lineage: Eukaryota; Viridiplantae; Streptophyta; Magnoliopsida; Fabales; Fabaceae
Description: long non-coding RNA (LANG_LNC000993)
Source: RNAcentral